Molecule: ribosomal RNA, 497 nt
Filed under: uncultured bacterium
Lineage: Bacteria
Description: partial 16S ribosomal RNA
Rfam family: Bacterial small subunit ribosomal RNA
Source: RNAcentral
GAUGAACGCUGGCGGCGUGCCUAAUACAUGCAAGUCGAGCGAACAGAUGAGGAGCUUGCUCCUCUGACGUUAGCGGCGGACGGGUGAGUAACACGUGGAUAACCUACCUAUAAGACUGGGAUAACUUCGGGAAACCGGCGCUAAUACCGGAUAAUAUAUUGAACCGCAUGGUUCAAUAGUGAAAGACGGUUUUGCUGUCUCUUAUAGAUGGAUCCGCGCCGCAUUAGCUAGUUGGUAAGGUAACGGCUUACCAAGGCAACGAUGCGUAGCCGACCUGAGAGGGUGAUCGGCCACACUGGAACUGAGACACGGUCCAGACUCCUACGGGAGGCAGCAGUAGGGAAUCUUCCGCAAUGGGCGAGAGCCUGACGGAGCAACGCCGCGUGAGUGAUGAAGGUCUUCGGAUCGUAAAACUCUGUUAUUAGGGAAGAACAAAUGUGUAAGUAACUAUGCACGUCUUGACGGUACCUAAUCAGAAAGCCACGGCUAACUACGUG